UCGGUUGAUGUUGUAGCAAAACAAGUGCACAAGAGUGAAGAUUUAUUUCAAGUUCGGACGUGUUUUCAAACGAAAGAUAUUUAACUUAUUGCAGAAACGUUAAAUAUUGAGCAGCAGUUGUCAUCAGUUAUAAAUAAACAUAAAUUACACGCAGUGCAAAAGUCUGUACACGCAAUUAUAUUCAACCGUUCAACGCAAAGCAACAUGGCUCCCGUGGUGGACAACAACCAGUUUGAACUUCCGACCGCGCUGGAAACUCCCAGCAAAAAGAGAAAACGCAAUGCGGAGACGAACCCAUUUCUGUCGUUUUCUGAUCAAACGUUUAGCAUCCCAUCGUCGACGCCUAUCCACAAUAAGCAGAUCGAUGGCAGUUCCUUCGAGAAUCCGAGCUUCCGGUUUGGUGUGAACAACAAUGGAAGCAACAAGGAAAACAUCAACAUAUUUUCCGACUCGUGCAUGGAGGUGAAAUCGAUCGCUGAGCUGGCGGCGGAGAAUCCUUUCGAAGUGAUUCGGAAGCCUCCGAAUAAGA
Long non-coding RNA from Armigeres subalbatus, 529 nucleotides. RefSeq lists it as uncharacterized. Lineage: Eukaryota; Metazoa; Arthropoda; Insecta; Diptera; Culicidae. The transcript is spliced from 2 exons. The record is from RefSeq and is a predicted model, not a curated record.